This 468-nucleotide ribosomal RNA is filed under the name uncultured bacterium. Its description in RNAcentral is "partial 16S ribosomal RNA". It matches the Rfam family "Bacterial small subunit ribosomal RNA", at positions 28 to 507 of the family's 1533-position model. The record is from RNAcentral.
GACGAACGCUGGCGGCGUGCUUAACACAUGCAAGUCGAACGGAAAGGCCCUGCUUUUGUGGGGUGCUCGAGUGGCGAACGGGUGAGUAACACGUGAGUAGCCUGCCCUUGACUUUGGGAUAACUUCAGGAAACUGGGGCUAAUACCGGAUAGGAGCUCCUGCUGCAUGGUGGGGGUUGGAAAGUUUCGGCGGUUGGGGAUGGACUCGCGGCUUAUCAGCUUGUUGGGGGGGUAGUGGCUUACCAAGGCGUUGACGGGUAGCCGGCCUGGGAGGGUGACCGGCCACAUUGGGACUGAGAUACGGCCCAGACUCCUACGGGAGGCAGCAGUGGGGAAUAUUGCACAAUGGGCGGAAGCCUGAUGCAGCAACGCCGCGUGCGGGAUGACGGCCUUCGGGUUGUAAACCGCUUUCGCCUGUGACGAAGCGUGAGUGACGGUAAUGGGUAAAGAAGCACCGGCUAACUACGUG